This 2016-nucleotide long non-coding RNA is filed under the name Homo sapiens (human). RNAcentral's name for it is "HSALNT0373055". Lineage: Eukaryota; Metazoa; Chordata; Mammalia; Primates; Hominidae. The record is from RNAcentral.
GAGUGUAACCAUGGAGACCCAUUGAAACCAGCUGGGCCAUUACCAUCUAGAAGCUGGUGGGGAUGUGGCAAUUAGAAGGACUGUUAGCCCUAGUUAAUGUGGUCAAGUGAUGUCAAUUGUUUAGUUUUUAGGUGCAAGGAACAGAACCGACGCUGCUGGACUUAAGGAGCAAAGGAAUUUAUCAGAAGGAUAUUGGAUGGCUUGCAGGAACCUGAGAGGCCCAGAGCCAGGCACUGAGGCUCUGCAGCCAGGAACAAUUGCCCACAAGAAAGCCUUAGAAACACUUCUGUGCUGGACCCCACAAGUUCCACCACUGACAACACGGGAUCAAUAAUGCGGCUACGGUCACUGCCAUCAUCUGCUCUGUACCGCACCUGCUUCUUCCAAACCCCUGAUUUCUCAUCAAUCAGGGUUAGGGAAGAUGUCCCUGACUGGCCUGUGCCUUCAGUUGUGCUCAAGGAGCUGGAAAAGCAAGAUCUGGCUUAAAGAAAGAAGCCCUCUUCUGCCUGAGACCAAGUAAUCAACAAUGUAACUACAGAUGGAGUCUCACUGUGUCGCCCUGGCUAGAGUGAAGUGGCGCAAUCUCGGCUCACUGCAACCUCCACCACCCAGGUUCAAGCAAUUCUGCCUCAGCCUCCUGAGUAGCCGGGAUUACAGGCACGUGCCACCAAACCCAGCUAAUUUUUGUAUUUUUAGUAAAGAUGGGGUUUUGCCAUGUUGGCCAGGCUGGUCUUGAACUCCUGACCUCAGGUGAUCCACCCACCUCGGCCUCCCAAAGUGCUGGGAUUACAGGCAUGAGCCACUACACCUAGCCCCUGUCUCUCUUUUUCUUUCUUUCUCUCUUUUUCUUUCUUUCUCUUUCUCCCUUCGUUCCUCCUUCCUUCCUCUUCCUUCCUCUCUUCUUUCUUUCUUUUUCUUUCUUUCUCUCUUUCUCUCCUCCUCUCUUUCUCUCUCUCUUUCAAGACAGGGUCUAACUCUGUUGCCCAUGCUACAGUGCAAUGGCACAAUUACAGCUCACGGACUGCAGCCUCAAAUCCCAGGCCCAAGCAAUCCUCCCACCUCAGCCUCCAGAGUAGAUAGGACUACAGGUGUGUGCCACCACACCUGACUAAUUUUUUAAAAUUUUUCUGUGGAGAUGGGGUUUCACCACGUUGCCCAGGCUCUUCUCAAACUCAUGGGCUGAAGCGUUCCUCCCACCUCGGCCUCCCAUAUUGCUGAGAUUACAGGCAUGAAACACCACGCCCAGCCUAUCUUUCACGAUGAGUGUUCUAAAGACCAUAUGGUGGAAAUUCUAGCAAACAACAAUAAUUUGGCACUUAAUAAAUGGUUGGGUGCAGCAGCUCAGACUUAUAAUCCCAGCAAUUUCGGAGACUGAGGUGGCAGGAUCCUUUGAGUCCAGGAGUUCGAGACCAACCCGGGCAACAUAAUGAGAUUCUCUCUACAAAAAAAAGAAAAAAUUAAAAAGCCAGGCAUGGUGGCACACACCUGUAGUCCCAGCUACUCAGGAGGCUGAGGUAGGAGGAUUGCUUGAGCCCAGGAGGUCGAGGCUGCAGUGAGCAUGAUUGCACCACAAAUGUUUCUUUUUAAAAUAUAUAUUUAUAUGUAUUGUGCAGUCACUACCUAAGCCUUCUGUAAGCAUCAUUUUAUUUACCUUUCACAAUAUUCCUAGAUGUUAUGUAGUUUAUAGAUGAUCAAGCAGCUUGUAAGAGGUGCAGUCAGGGUUUAAAUCUGCUCAUUUGACUUCAAAGCCUGAGCUCUUAAUUACUAAACACAGACUCUCAAAAAUAUCCUCCAGAGGGUGCGGCAGUGCAUGCCUCUAGUCCCAGCUCCUCAAGAAGCUAAAGCAAGAGGAUCACUUGAGUCCAGGAGUUGAGUCCAGCCUGGGCAAAAUAACAUAGACACCCAAUCUAAAAAAAAAAAAAAUCCUCCAUACUUCUUCACACUAUCUGCACAUAUAACCUGCUCUAGAGAUAGAGGCAGCUCCACUUGUAAUACAGUAGCAUGUCUGACAUGAAA